This 258-nucleotide long non-coding RNA is filed under the name Elaeis guineensis (African oil palm). RNAcentral's name for it is "long non-coding RNA (EGUI_LNC070825)". The record is from RNAcentral. Lineage: Eukaryota; Viridiplantae; Streptophyta; Magnoliopsida; Arecales; Arecaceae.
GGUCCUUGAUUUUUGAUUCAAUACUGAACCCUUCCUUUUUAAAAAAUCUGAAAUCAAUAUUUUUGCCGGGCUCUACCUUCCUAUCAAAUAAGGGAAUCUUACUAGGGCUAAUUUGAGACCUGGUUGAAGCUGGAGUUGAAGCAGCAGCAGGGUUUGAAGCAGAAGUAGUCUCUAUUGCAUGUCUCUUUUAACGCACACUAUCCUCCAACCCGCGGACUAAUUUCCUCCUCUGUGGAAGCUUCAUCUUCAGAGCCAUUU